Molecule: unclassified non-coding RNA, 138 nt
Filed under: soil metagenome
Description: partial internal transcribed spacer 1
Source: RNAcentral
CCUAGAGUUGUAGGCUUUGCCUGCUAUCUCUUACCCAUGUCUUUUGAGUACCUUCGUUUCCUCGGCGGGUCCGCCCGCCGAUUGGACAAUUUAAACCAUUUGCAGUUGCGAUCAGCGUCUGAAAAAACUUAAUAGUUA